AAAAUCUUCACGCAAAUCUCGCCUCUCUCUCUCUCACUAGUACACGUUACAAAGAGAAAGAAAAAAGAUGGACAAGGGGCCUCACCCACAGAUUCGUUUCUGAACGUCUCUCUCCAACGAAUUCUCCAUCCAUUACCUCACUCAAAACCCUCGUCCUCACUAUUCACCCUCAGCUCACAGACAAACCCACUCACAUUUCUCAUUCAGAAAUCUCUCUUCACUCUCACGAAAACCCAACAAAACCUUCAUCAAACCUUCACUCCACCGUUAACCUCUCCAUCUACCAAGCAAUCCCUCUUCACUCUCUGAAAUCUUUGGAAAAAUCUCACACGAAAACCACCCCCAACCUCUUCAACACCUUCAAUCUCCCACAAAAACCCUUCGUCAGCCCCAAAUCGCCUCUCUACCAUCGCUAAUCCACCGCCUUCAACUCACCAUCAAAACCCAUUUUUCUCCAUCAACCCUUCAAAUCCGCUCAACCCUAAAUCAACAAACCCUCAUCUCAACCAUAAAUCCACUGUCAAACCCCCAACCUCACUCUCAAAACACCAUCAUCAACCUUCGUUCCUCCACAAACCACCGAAACUCCACCCUCCUCGCUUCAAUCAUCCAUCUUCCAACACCGUGGAAACCAAAUCCUCGCCGCUUCACAUUUCCGACAGCACCGCCAACAACUNNN
Molecule: long non-coding RNA, 679 nt
Filed under: Lathyrus oleraceus (garden pea)
Lineage: Eukaryota; Viridiplantae; Streptophyta; Magnoliopsida; Fabales; Fabaceae
Description: Pisum sativum (pea) long non-coding RNA (PSAT_LNC005017)
Source: RNAcentral